GCCUCCCUCCGCGCCAUCAGACUCCUACGGAGGCAGCAGUAGGGAAUUUUCCACAAUGGGCGAAAGCCUGAUGGAGCAACGCCGCGUGCAGGAUGAAGGCUUUCGGGUCGUAAACUGCUUUUAUCUGUGACGAAUAUGACGGUAGCAGAUGAAUAAGCCUCGGCUAACUCCGUGCCAGCAGCCGCGGUAAUAC
RNAcentral lists this ribosomal RNA (193 nucleotides) under uncultured bacterium. Its description in RNAcentral is "partial 16S ribosomal RNA". It matches the Rfam family "Bacterial small subunit ribosomal RNA", at positions 307 to 526 of the family's 1533-position model. The record is from RNAcentral.